UGAGGAAUUUUCCGCAAUGGGCGAAAGCCUGACGGAGCAAUACCGCGUGAGGGAUGAAGGAUUUUGGUCUGUAAACCUCUUUUCUCAAGAAAGAAGUUCUGACGGUACUUGAGGAAUAAGCAUCGGCUAACUCCGUGCCAGCAGCCGCGGUAAUACGGGGGAUGCAAGCGUUAUCCGGAAUCAUUGGGCGUAAAGCGCCUGUAGGUUGUUUAAUAAGUCUGUUGUUAAAGACUAGGGCUUAACCCUAGAAAAGCAAUGGAAACUACUAGACUAGAGUAUGGCAGGGGUAGAGGGAAUUUCUAGUGUAGCGGUGAAAUGCGUAGAUAUUAGAAAGAACACCGGUGGCGAAAGCGCUCUACUGGACCAUUACUGACACUCAGAGGCGAAAGCUAGGGUAGCAAAAGGG
This 406-nucleotide ribosomal RNA is filed under the name uncultured Phalacroma. Its description in RNAcentral is "bacterial SSU rRNA". It matches the Rfam family "Bacterial small subunit ribosomal RNA", at positions 355 to 776 of the family's 1533-position model. The record is from RNAcentral. Lineage: Eukaryota; Dinophyceae; Dinophysales; Dinophysaceae.